GGUCGCUUAGCUCAGUUGGUUAGAGCGUGGUGCUAAUAAGCAUUCCUUUGAUAACGCCAAGGUCGCAGGUUCGACCCCUGCAGUGAUCA
Molecule: transfer RNA, 89 nt
Filed under: Pyronema domesticum
Lineage: Eukaryota; Fungi; Ascomycota; Pezizomycetes; Pezizales; Pyronemataceae
Description: tRNA-Ile
Rfam family: tRNA
About the family: Transfer RNA (tRNA) molecules are approximately 80 nucleotides in length. Their secondary structure includes four short double-helical elements and three loops (D, anti-codon, and T loops).
Source: RNAcentral